AUACUUACCUGACAAGGGAGAUACCAUGAUCAUGAAGGUGGUUUUCCCAGGGCAAGGCUUAUCCAUUGUACUCUGGAUGUGCUGACCCCUGCAAGUUCCCUAAAUGGAAAAUUGACUGCAUAAUUUGUGGUAGUGGGGUCUGCAUUCACACUCUCCCCUG
Molecule: small nuclear RNA, 160 nt
Organism: Orcinus orca (killer whale)
Lineage: Eukaryota; Metazoa; Chordata; Mammalia; Artiodactyla; Delphinidae
Product: U1 spliceosomal RNA
Exons: 1
Source: RefSeq, a predicted model, not a curated record